CGGAGUAGAAAUAAAGACUGGAACUUACUAGAGCAAUCUCACCGGGCAAAAUCAUGGAUAUCUGGAAACACUCAGUUGCCGUAUUGGAAAGGACCUUGUUACCAGCAUGAAGCUUUAUCUUCACGACCUGUAGCAACUGUAGCUACACUUUGGGAGAAAGCUAAAGGUGAAGAAAGAUCGCAGCUUCUGUCCGAGUGGGUGGUCAUGCGUGAAGUUCUAUGGGUUCUGAUGUGUCCUGUGUCGUCUUAUAUCUUCCAGCAGAAUGAGAAAGGGGGGGGACUUCGUUAUGGAAAAUAAAAUGACACUUCCAAGCUUGACUCAUGGAGCAAUUGUUUCCCUUCUUGAGGAUCUCUGUGAGCCUUUAAAACAAUUGAGUGAACUUGAUAUAUUUAUGAGGAACAUUGAGAAUCCUGAGGGUAGUCCUCCAACACCAGUAACAUUGCUUGCAUAUGUGGCUGGAUUAAGACACUGGCGCAGGCAAUUCCAGAUGCACCUCACUUCUCUAGAAAACAUUGUUAAAA
Molecule: long non-coding RNA, 521 nt
Organism: Macrobrachium nipponense
Lineage: Eukaryota; Metazoa; Arthropoda; Malacostraca; Decapoda; Palaemonidae
Exons: 3
Source: RefSeq, a predicted model, not a curated record